Molecule: long non-coding RNA, 978 nt
Organism: Cucumis melo (muskmelon)
Lineage: Eukaryota; Viridiplantae; Streptophyta; Magnoliopsida; Cucurbitales; Cucurbitaceae
Exons: 2
Source: RefSeq, a predicted model, not a curated record
CACACAUCAAGAAAAACCCUAAUCGGAAAAACCCUAGCCGCGAAGGCCCCUUCCCCCAUCUUUAUAAAGCGACCUUCAUCCUCUCAACUUCAUACUCGAAGGCGUCUUUCAGGUAACUCGUUAAUUGAGUUAUAUUUGAAAUUGGAUUCUGUUAAUGUUGAUGAACUAUCAGUGGAGACUUUCACCCAGAGUCUACACGAAUAGUCAUGGUAUGUUAUGUUUGAUUUUGCUAGGAAAAUAGAGUAAGGAUACUAAGACUCCCCUAGUACAUUAGGAAAAUGGGACUCCCCUAGUACAUUAGGAAAAUGGGAAAGGGUGGUUUGGAAUGAUUUGUGACAAAUGGUAUAUUGGCAAAUGGUAGUGAAUUGAAAAACAUGGUAGCUCUAGCUGAUAAAGUAGACUUGUCUUCAGGGAAUUCAGUUUACCAUCUGAAUGUAUUCUGAAAUGGUUUAAAUAGGCCAGCUCAAGAAUCCUGAUGUGAUUCAACAAUACAGAUGCUCUUGUGCAUUUGCGGAUCGGGUGGUUGUGAAGAAUUAAGCUUAGACGAAGAUGGAGCAAGCGUAGGUUAAGUGGAUUUUGAGCUGGACGAAUUGAAACUUUGUUAAUCGAGUAUAGCAUUGCGAAAAACUAACUCUGUUAGACUGGAAGGUAACAUUAUGGGCUUGGUGAGGAGCAACAAUUGAUGGUUUUUGUAAGGUAUACUACUAAAGGUAGUAUACAUUACUCCUAUAAUGAUAUAAUAGUAGAGGAAAAAACAUAUCUAAAACUUGUUGAAGGGACUCUACAUCAAGUCAAAUUUUACGACUUAUUUGCAGUGGGAUGAAACUAUGUAGAUCGAAAGAUGAAAUGUUCAUGAUCAGUGGUGGAAGAUUCUUUUCGGUAUUCUCAGCUUUAAGCUUGAAUUGUUGAAUUUUUUUUGUAAAAUCAUCCAUUAUAGUAGAAGUGUUAAUAAACCUUGCGAACAAAUUGUUAUAACAA